RNAcentral lists this long non-coding RNA (236 nucleotides) under Musa acuminata (dwarf banana). RNAcentral's name for it is "long non-coding RNA (MACU_LNC009336)". Lineage: Eukaryota; Viridiplantae; Streptophyta; Magnoliopsida; Zingiberales; Musaceae. The record is from RNAcentral.
UCAAAAUACGAGAUUCAACAAUCUCCCCCUUUUUGAUGAUGACAACUACUUGAUGACGGAGUUAAACUUAACUCCCGGAGUUUAAACAAACUCCCCCUAUCAAUAUGCCAUAUUGAUAGAACCUUGAAUUCAAACUGAAUUCAAGUCAUUGCAAUAUUCAUCAUGAAUACUUGCAACACGUCAACAUGAACAUAUGCAUAAACUUAUGCAUAACAUGUCAUGUCAUCAACAUACUU